This 253-nucleotide ribosomal RNA is filed under the name uncultured bacterium. Its description in RNAcentral is "partial 16S ribosomal RNA". It matches the Rfam family "Bacterial small subunit ribosomal RNA", at positions 524 to 776 of the family's 1533-position model. The record is from RNAcentral.
UACGGAGGGGGCUAGCGUUGUUCGGAAUUACUGGGCGUAAAGCGUGCGUAGGUGGUUCGUUAAGUCGGGGGUGAAAUCCCGAGGCUCAACCUCGGAACUGCCUUCGAUACUGGCGAUCUUGAGUCCGGGAGAGGUGAGUGGAACUGCGAGUGUAGAGGUGAAAUUCGUAGAUAUUCGCAAGAACACCAGUGGCGAAGGCGGCUCACUGGCCCGGUACUGACGCUGAGGUGCGAAAGCGUGGGGAGCAAACAGG